UACGUAGGGCGCAAGCGUUGUCCGAAAUUAUUGGGCGUAAAGAGCUCGUAGGCGGCUUGUCACGUCGGGUGUGAAAGCCCGGGGCUUAACCCCGGGUCUGCAUUCGAUACGGGCUAGCUAGAGUGUGGUAGGGGAGAUCGGAAUUCCUGGUGUAGCGGUGAAAUGCGCAGAUAUCAGGAGGAACACCGGUGGCGAAGGCGGCUACCUGGACCGGAACUGACGCUGAUGCGCGAAAGCGUGGGUAGCAAACAGG
Molecule: ribosomal RNA, 253 nt
Filed under: uncultured bacterium
Lineage: Bacteria
Description: partial 16S ribosomal RNA
Rfam family: Bacterial small subunit ribosomal RNA
Source: RNAcentral